Molecule: ribosomal RNA, 426 nt
Filed under: uncultured archaeon
Lineage: Archaea
Description: bacterial SSU rRNA
Rfam family: Archaeal small subunit ribosomal RNA
Source: RNAcentral
UACCAGCUCUCCGAGUGGUGUGGAUGUUUAUUGGGCCUAAAGCAUCCGUAGCUGGCUGGACAAGUCCCCUGUUAAAUCCACCGAUUUAAUCGUUGGAGUGCGGGGGAUACUGUUCGGCUAGGGGACGGGAGAGGCAGACGGUAUUUUCGGGGUAGGGGUGAAAUCCUAUAAUCCCGGGAAGACCACCAGUGGCGAAGGCUGUCUGCUAGAACGCGCCCGACGGUGAGGGAUGAAGCUGGGGGAGCGAACCGGAUUAGAUACCCGGGUAGUCCCAGCUGUGAACGAUGCAGGCUAGGUGUAUGGGCGGCCACGUGCCGCUCUAGUGCCGCAGGGAAGCCGUUAAGCCUGCCGCCUGGGGAGUACGGCCGCAAGGCUGAAACUUAAAGGAAUUGGCGGGGAGCACCACAAGGGUGAAGCUUGCGGUUU